RNAcentral lists this ribosomal RNA (497 nucleotides) under uncultured bacterium. Its description in RNAcentral is "partial 16S ribosomal RNA". It matches the Rfam family "Bacterial small subunit ribosomal RNA", at positions 28 to 507 of the family's 1533-position model. The record is from RNAcentral.
GAUGAACGCUGGCGGCGUGCCUAAUACAUGCAAGUCGAGCGAACAGACGAGGAGCUUGCUCCUCUGACGUUAGCGGCGGACGGGUGAGUAACACGUGGAUAACCUACCUAUAAGACGGGGAUAACUUCGGGAAACCGUAGCUAAUACCGGAGAAUAUAUUGAACCGCAGGGUUCAAUAGUGAAAGACGGUUUUGCUGUCACUUAUAGAUUGAUCCGCGCCGCAUUAGCUAGUUGGUAAGGUAACGGCUUACCAAGGAAACGAUGCGUAGCCGACCUGAGAGGGUGAUCGGCCACACUGGAACUGAGACACGGUCCAGACUCCUACGGGAGGCAGCAGUAGGGAAUCUUCCGCAAUGGGCGAAAGCUUGACGGAGCAACGCCGCGUGAGUGAUGAAGGUCUUCGGAUCGUAAAACUCUGUUAUUAGGGAAGAACAAAUGUGUAAGUAACUAUGCACGUCUUGACGGUACCUAAUCAGAAAGCCACGGCUAACUACGUG